RNAcentral lists this transfer RNA (74 nucleotides) under Dryococelus australis. RNAcentral describes it as "tRNA-OTHER". It matches the Rfam family "tRNA". Rfam says of the family: Transfer RNA (tRNA) molecules are approximately 80 nucleotides in length. Their secondary structure includes four short double-helical elements and three loops (D, anti-codon, and T loops). The record is from RNAcentral. Lineage: Eukaryota; Metazoa; Arthropoda; Insecta; Phasmatodea; Phasmatidae.
GGCCCGUUAGCUCAGCUGGUUAGAGCGUCGUGCUAAUAACGCGAAGGUCGCGGGUUCGAUCCCCCCACGGGCCA